GAAAAUACUUAAUGGUGCGAGCUUUGCUCUUUGGUCAUUUAACAAAGUUAUUUUACAAAGUUAUAUUUUUAUUUUAUUGUUAUUUUACAAAGUUAUAUAAACUUUCCCGAAAAAAAAACCCUUAGUUUGCAACGGUAAACCCACUCCUUUUAAAUAUUUGUGUAAAAGAACAUUGUGGAGAUAGGAACAUUUUUGUACUUUUUUAACAGAGUCAAGCGGUAAGAUAAUGAUUUAAGCGAAGGUUUCUGCGCGUUCAUUGAAAUAUCUUCACUUCUUAUAGUUUGUUUGAGAAAAUAAAAUUAUCCCCAACAGAAAGCCAUUCACGAGCCUAUGAAAAGAAACUGUUUCUUGUAAAUGUGUCAAGGGAAUGGCCACGAAAGUAAUCAUGAUUAAAGGGAUAUUGGUAUUUUUUGUGCGUUCAGACCUCACCUACUGUACAAGAUGGGCUUUGUUAAUUAACCGUUUUGUUUUAACUAAUUAUGCGAAAAAGUCUAUGCUUCUUAUACUUAUUUUCCCAUCGAUUCCGAAUAACAUUUUAGCGGCUAGAAAAAAAUAUAUUUCUUAGAGCUUCGAUCAAGAGUGGGAUGACAUGUAAAGUAUAAAAACAAAACGAAAUUCUUGAUUUUCAUUACCCGGAUUAAACAAAAACGAUCAUUCUUGUGAUGCAAAUAAAAACAACAUGACAAGAAUAACCCAAUUCGUGACGGAAUAAAAUAAACAUCAACAAUUAUCCAUUCAAUUAUUUUUUUUCAUUUGAAAAAUUAUUAACCAGUGGCAAAAAUUGGACAAAACGCAAAAUUAGAAUUGUCUUCCCUCAUUUUCAAAAUAAUGAUAAGUAAAAAUACGAGGGAACACAUUUUAAAAAAUUGACACCCCCUGUCCAACAGACGAGUGGAAUUGUUAAUUCUAUAGUUCAACCAUACAAAAGCAUGAUGGUUUUGCUUUACCUUUUUGCGCCAAAGGUUGCAAGUCCUUAACAAAAUGACUUGUAUUCAAUUUUGUCAACAAUAAUUAGCAUCUAAACAAAAUACCAAAUGCCUCUACUCGAUAUCGGCCAUUAUCAAGUUUGGUUUUUCAUUCGAAAAAAAAAAAGAAAAAAAACAUAUAUAAUCGGAACAACCGAGUGGUUAAAAAUGAUGCCUAUUAUUAAAAACUGGUAAUACAUAACUGGAAAAUUAGCGUAGAAUUCAAAAAUAAAUUAUUUACGUAUGGGUAUAGUUUAAUUUCAUAACUAUGACUGGUUGCUUAUAUUGUGUGGUACACUUGUCUCAAAAUCUUUACUAGAUUAUAAAAGACUGAAAUCCCUCCAACCAAUAUUAUUUGGUUGGUAUUGUUUUAGAGAAAUUCGCAAACUAACUCGUCUAUGUAAACAAAGCCCGCUGCGAAAAAAAAAAUAUCCAAAACUGCCAAUUGUAGGGCUCCAGCAGCCCGCUAAACAGCCAAUCAGAUCGCGCGUACCAUCGUAGCCAUUUAAGAAAUUUAUAUAUUGUUUUUAACACAUAUACUGAUCAAUAAAUCAAACAAAAAUAGCAUCCUUUCUAAAUCAACCACUAUUUUUUGUAUUGAUUACAUUUUGAAACAAGACGGUCUGCAAGAAAAACCACCGUACCAAUAAAAACCGAUACUUAUAUAAAACGACAUUUGUUUGAAGGUGUACUGCUCUAGCAAGCCUCGAAAUAUUGGGCUGGGGCACAAUAUAGAAACAUUAAGGAAAAAAUUGGGCACAGCCACGCCUCAACUAAAAAUUUCUUAUUUAUGGCGGCAUAAAUACAUUCUUUUAGCAGUGCGGUCUUCAGCCGGUUCAGGAGGAACGCGUAACGCAAUCAUUUCUAUUGUCUCACCGAGGUCACGCAUCAGUCGUGCUGGAAAACUACCGCAGACCGGAAAAGCUGUUUUUUUUUUUUUUCGCGCCCGUGCUCUACAUCCGUGAGCUGAUUGUUGCGUAAGAUAGAGGAAGGUUAGAGGAGUAGAUCGACGUGAAACACGGCCAGAGUUACCAAAUAAAUAUCUAUUUAUCGAAGUUCAACGAUAGCGCACCGACUGUCUUGUCCGCCAUAUUGGAAGAGGAAUGUGGUUCAAGACAACACAAAGAACAAGAAAGCAAAAUUUACUCUUUAGUGUGUUGAUUUUGUAGAGUAGACAAUAAAAACACAAAUCCUUUCUCGUUUUGGUUGAGCGCUUGUAUGGGUUUUAGAUAGCGAAAUAUCCAAUAAAAUGUUGAACCAAGCAAAUUUAUCGUGAAGGCUCUAAUUCCAUCCAUG
Nematostella vectensis (starlet sea anemone) is the source of this 2261-nucleotide long non-coding RNA. RefSeq lists it as uncharacterized. The record is from RefSeq and is a predicted model, not a curated record. Lineage: Eukaryota; Metazoa; Cnidaria; Anthozoa; Actiniaria; Edwardsiidae. The transcript is spliced from 2 exons.